This 72-nucleotide transfer RNA is filed under the name Pseudomonadota bacterium. Its description in RNAcentral is "tRNA-Ile". It matches the Rfam family "tRNA". From Rfam's summary of the family: Transfer RNA (tRNA) molecules are approximately 80 nucleotides in length. Their secondary structure includes four short double-helical elements and three loops (D, anti-codon, and T loops). RNAcentral also lists the same sequence under 1 other name. Lineage: Bacteria; Pseudomonadati; Pseudomonadota. The record is from RNAcentral.
GGGCCCAUAGCUCAGUGGUAGAGCAGGUGACUCAUAAUCACUUGGUCGGAGGUUCGAAUCCUUCUGGGCCCA